AGAGUUUGAUCCUGGCUCAGAACGAACGCUGGCGGCGUGCUUAACACAUGCAAGUCGAACGAGAAUCGGGGCUUGCUCCGAGGAUAGUGGCGCACGGGUGAGUAACGCGUGGAUAACCUGCCCUGGUAUCUGGGAUAACAUCUCGAAAGGGGUGCUAAUACCGGAUAAGCCCACGGGAACUUUGGUUCUUGCGGGAAAAGGUGGCCUCUGAAUAUGCUACUGUAUCAGGAUGGGUCCGCGUACCAUUAGCUAGUUGGUGGUGUAAUGGACUACCAAGGCGACGAUGGUUAGCUGGUCUGAGAGGAUGAUCAGCCACACUGGAACUGAGACACGGUCCAGACUCCUACGGGAGGCAGCAGUGGGGAAUUUUGCGCAAUGGGGGAAACCCUGACGCAGCAACGCCGCGUGAGUGAUGAAGGCCUUCGGGUCGUAAAGCUCUGUCAGAGGGGAAGAAGUGUAUGGGUGCUAAU
Molecule: ribosomal RNA, 470 nt
Filed under: uncultured bacterium
Lineage: Bacteria
Description: bacterial SSU rRNA
Rfam family: Bacterial small subunit ribosomal RNA
Source: RNAcentral